AGAGUUUGAUCAUGGCUCAGGAUGAACGCUAGCUACAGGCUUAACACAUGCAAGUCGAGGGGCAGCAUGGUCUUAGCUUGCUAAGGCCGAUGGCGACCGGCGCACGGGUGAGUAACACGUAUCCAACCUGCCGUCUACUCUUGGACAGCCUUCUGAAAGGAAGAUUAAUACAAGAUGGCAUCAUGAGUCCGCAUGUUCACAUGAUUAAAGGUAUUCCGGUAGACGAUGGGGAUGCGUUCCAUUAGAUAGUAGGCGGGGUAACGGCCCACCUAGUCUUCGAUGGAUAGGGGUUCUGAGAGGAAGGUCCCCCACAUUGGAACUGAGACACGGUCCAAACUCCUACGGGAGGCAGCAGUGAGGAAUAUUGGUCAAUGGGCGAGAGCCUGAACCAGCCAAGUAGCGUGAAGGAUGACUGCCCUAUGGGUUGUAAACUUCUUUUAUAAAGGAAUAAAGUCGGGUAUGGAUACCCGUUUGCAUGUACUUUAUGAAUAAGGAUCGGCUAACUCCGUGCCAGCAGCCGCGGUAAUACGGAGGGUCCGAGCGUUAUCCGGAUUUAUUGGGUUUAAAGGGAGCGUAGAUGGAUGUUUAAGUCAGUUGUGAAAGUUUGCGGC
This 611-nucleotide ribosomal RNA is filed under the name uncultured bacterium. RNAcentral's name for it is "bacterial SSU rRNA". It matches the Rfam family "Bacterial small subunit ribosomal RNA", at positions 8 to 608 of the family's 1533-position model. The record is from RNAcentral.